This 253-nucleotide ribosomal RNA is filed under the name uncultured bacterium. RNAcentral describes it as "partial 16S ribosomal RNA". It matches the Rfam family "Bacterial small subunit ribosomal RNA", at positions 524 to 776 of the family's 1533-position model. The record is from RNAcentral.
UACGGGGGGGGCAAGCGUUGUUCGGAAUUACUGGGCGUAAAGGGCUCGUAGGUGGCCAAUUAAGUCGGAUGUGAAAUCCCUCAGCUUAACUGGGGAACUGCGUCUGAUACUGGAUGGCUUGGAUCCGGAAGAGGGAUGCGGAAUUCCAGGUGUAGCGGUGAAAUGCGUAGAUAUCUGGAGGAACACCGGUGGCGAAGGCGGCAUCCUGGGCCGGUAUUGACGCUGAGGAGCGAAAGCCAGGGGAGCAAACGGG